AGAGUUUGAUCCUGGCUCAGGAUGAACGCUGGCGGUAUGCGUAACACAUGCAAGUCGAACGAAGUUUUUCGGAACUUAGUGGCGGACGGGUGAGUAACGCGUGAGAAUCUGCCUUAAGGAUUGGGACAACAGUGGGAAACCGCUGCUAAUACCAAAUAUGCCUUUUAGUGAAACGGGUAAAACCGCCUUAAGAUGAGCUCGCGUCUGAUUAGCUAGUUGGUGUGGUAAGAGCGCACCAAGGCAACGAUCAGUAGCUGGUCUGAGAGGACGACCAGCCACACUGGGACUGAGACACGGCCCAGACUCCUACGGGAGGCAGCAGUGAGGAAUUUUCCGCAAUGGGCGAAAGCCUGACGGAGCAAUACCGCGUGAGGGAGGAAGGUUCUUGGAUUGUAAACCUCUUUUCUCAGAGAAGAAUAAUGACGGUAUCUGAGGAAUAAGCAUCGGCUAACUCCGUGCCAGCAGCCGCGGUAAUACGGAGGAUGCAAGCGUUAUCCGGAAUGAUUGGGCGUAAAGGGUCUGUAGGUGGUUGUUCAAGUCUGCUGUUAAAGCGUCUGGCUUAACCAGAUAAAGGCGGUGGAAACUGAACGACUAGAGUGCGGUAGGGGUAGAGGGAAUUCCCAGUGUAGCGGUGAAAUGCGUAGAUCUUGGGAAGAACACCUGUGGCGAAAGCGCUCUACUGGACCGCGACUGACACUGAUGGACGAAAGCUAGGGGAGCGAAUGGGAUUAGAUACCCCGGUAGUCC
This 747-nucleotide ribosomal RNA is filed under the name Scytonema sp. FGP-7A. RNAcentral describes it as "bacterial SSU rRNA". It matches the Rfam family "Bacterial small subunit ribosomal RNA", at positions 8 to 796 of the family's 1533-position model. Lineage: Bacteria; Bacillati; Cyanobacteriota; Cyanophyceae; Nostocales; Scytonemataceae. The record is from RNAcentral.